This 503-nucleotide ribosomal RNA is filed under the name uncultured bacterium. RNAcentral's name for it is "bacterial SSU rRNA". It matches the Rfam family "Bacterial small subunit ribosomal RNA", at positions 29 to 516 of the family's 1533-position model. The record is from RNAcentral.
AACAAACGCUGGCGGCGUGUCUUAAGCAUGCAAGUUGAGCGGCAAGGAGGAGAGAUCCUCCCUAGAGCGGCGGACUGGUGAGUAACGCGUGGGUAAUCUAUCGUAGGCAUGGGGAUAGUCACUAGAAAUAGUGGGUAAUACCGAAUACGUUCCAUGAGGGGAGUAUUCAUGGAAGAAAGGGUGCUACGGCACUGGCCUUAGGUGAGCUCGCGUCCCAUUAGCUAGUUGGUGAGGUAAAGGCCCACCAAGGCGAUGAUGGGUAGCCGGCCUGAGAGGGGUGUACGGCCACACUGGGACUGAGAUACGGCCCAGACUCCUACGGGAGGCAGCAGCUAAGAAUAUUCCGCAAUGGACGAAAGUCUGACGGAGCGACGCCGCGUGGAUGAAGAAGGCCGAAAGGUUGUAAAGUUCUUUGCUAGGGGAGAAUAAGUGGAGGGAGGGAAGUGCCUCAUGAAUGACAAGGACUAGCGAAUAACGCCCCGGCCAACUACGUGCCAGCAGCC